Molecule: ribosomal RNA, 266 nt
Filed under: uncultured archaeon
Lineage: Archaea
Description: partial 16S ribosomal RNA
Rfam family: Archaeal small subunit ribosomal RNA
Source: RNAcentral
AGGUCACUGACAUUAGAUACCCGGGUAGUCCAGGGUGUAAACGCUGCAGACUUGGUGUUGGAAGCCCUUUGGGGGCAUUCAGUGCCGGAGAGAAGUUGUUAAGUCUGCUACUUGGGGAGUACGUCCGCAAGGAUGAAACUUAAAGGAAUUGGCGGGGGAGCACCGCAACGGGAGGAGCGUGCGGUUUAAUUGGAUUCAACACCGUAAAACUCACCAGGGAAGACUGUUACAUGAAGGCCGAGAUGAAGACUCUGCUAGAUUUUCAG